Molecule: long non-coding RNA, 2245 nt
Organism: Trachemys scripta elegans
Lineage: Eukaryota; Metazoa; Chordata; Testudines; Emydidae
Exons: 3
Source: RefSeq, a predicted model, not a curated record
CUCCCACUCUUCCCCUCUCUUCCUGGCUGGGGUGAAGAAGGCAAGCUCUUCUCAUCACUAGAAUCUCUUUCUCUCCUCUCCUCCCUAAAUGGGAGAAGAUCCCUGGUUUUGUAUUUCCACCCCUCCUUUUUGCUCUCAGCAUGGUAAAGCAACAAACCACUGGAGGAAAAAAUUGCUUGCUCUCAUGCUUAUUACAAAAACAGAACUUUGCAAAGCACUGGCAGAGGGUUUGGACAUGAAAUCGCAUUCUGUCUACUUUCAUAAUAAUUGGACCACACAGCUUCCUGUCAACACAACACUUUUUGUCACCUUUCAACAUCUUGCACUUUCUGCACAGUUCACACACUAAAACAAUGUGUAAAAGUGGUGUUCAAGAAAAAACAAGCACAUAAAACCAAUAAACUGAGAUUCUCAGUGGUGUUUUUUACCCUUGUAUGUGCUGGAAGAGUCAAAACUCCCCAACCAGCACAUCUGGAUGAAGACGAAUUAAGGUCACUGUGUGGAUUCAAAACACUGAAACCAUGUGAACAGUGUUUCCUGCAGUCUGAUGAAUCCGUCUGUCUCCCAUAUGUUCAAUCAGGACUGGCUUUAGGCACCAGCAAACCAAGCCCAUGCUUGGGGCGGCAGAAUUGCAGGGGCAGCAUUCCAGGAGGUUGUUGUUGGUUUUUUUUGCUUCAGCAGUUGCGCUCUCGGAGGUUUGGUUUUUUUGCUUGGGGUGGCAAAAAACCUAGAGCCAGCCCUGUGUGCAAUAGCUCCUUUACAGACCUGAUUUUUCUGAAGCAUUGCAAAUAAAGAGCCAGAAAUGCACAUCCCCUUCCCAUUUGCCAAUCCUAAGGAUACAUAAGGGCCAAGAUUGCCUUUUAUUGCCCCUAACUAGAUCAACCUCCGCUUCUGAGCCACUCUUUGAUGUCUGUCCCAAAGGGUGACAGCAAAAUGAUCAUUUGUAAAAAAAUAUAGCCUUUAGUUUUUUUGAUUGACAAGCAACCCAGCUUGCCUGAUGGAGAUCUCCAAAACAGCUUGCAAUUACGUCAAAAGCAUCAAAGAGAGUUUGCCAAGCUGAGUGACUUUGGGUAAGUCACAUAACCUUUUGUGUCCCCAUUCAUCAUCUUUUGGGACUUAUUCUAAGAUUUGUUGGGUUAUUUUGUUUUUGUCUUUCAAAAUAAAUUCACACUGGCAGAGAUGGAUAAUCUUUCCAAAAUCCAGAAUAGCAAACUCAAGCUAAGAAUUGAUACAGUGCACUUCCAUUAACUUUCAGUGACAGCUGUGAGCACUCAACCAGCUCACUUUUAUUUAGGUGUCUAUUUCUAGAUUUAGGUGUCUAACUUUACAGAAGAGCAUAAACAUUUCCAUAUUGGGUCAAACCAAUCUUGUCCAGUAUCCUGUCUCCAUCAGUGGUCCAAGCUUGAGCUUCAGGGAAGUGUACAGAACAGGGCAAUUUUGGAGUAAUCCACUCCCAUCUUGCACUCUCAGUUUAUAGAAGUCAGAACUUUAGGAUCGCACCAAGCACAGGUUUGCAUCACUGACCAUCUUGGCUAAUAGUCAUUGAUGGACUUAUCUUCCAUGAACUUACCUAGUGUGAUGUUGUAUGAUUGAAGUGGACCGUUUAUAUCAUAGAUAUUACCACUGUUAUACAGCUGCAACAAAUCUUGUACAAAGUGUAUCAUGUAAGGUGUUGUGAAAAAAGUUACAAUCUGUCAAGUAUGAUUAUCCCAGUUAAAUCCAUGCAUCAUCAUCUGAAGUUAUGAAUACUGACUAUGUAUUUGUAUCUUAAAUGUGUUUGUUCUUGAGGUGACACCCAUAAGGUAAUUUAUCUCCAGUCUCACCAGCCCAUUGUGAAUGGACCAUUCAAGUUUGAUUGGCCAUUAAGAAGAAUCAACUCUCAAGAUAACUCUUCCUGAGGAUGCCUGAGACAGCAAGGAGCCAAUGGCCACUCCAUGAUUCAGGAAAACAUGCAAGGUCAUGUGAUGUGGACAUGUGACCACAGACUCCAUCUUUUUUUCACUUUCUAUACAAAGGGGCUGUGGGCAUUAUUUAAGGCAGAGGAUAUAAAAGACUCCUGAGACAUCUCCAUUUUGCCUCAUUCCUGCUCCAAUUCUCUGGACUGUGGAUUUACAACUAAAAGGAGUAUUUUGAACUAAGGACCUUCCAAUCUUGUGGAAAUUACCAGAGACUUUUGCAAGUCAGCAGUCUAUUCCAUCACUGCUACAAACCUGAUCUGAGAUCUUUGUUAUCAUUUGUAUGUAUA